Molecule: ribosomal RNA, 321 nt
Filed under: uncultured Clostridium sp.
Lineage: Bacteria; Bacillati; Bacillota; Clostridia; Eubacteriales; Clostridiaceae
Description: bacterial SSU rRNA
Rfam family: Bacterial small subunit ribosomal RNA
Source: RNAcentral
GAAUUCGCCCUUAGAGUUUGAUCCUGGCUCAGGAUGAACGCUGGCGGCGUGCCUAACACAUGCAAGUCGAGCGAUCUUCUUCGGAAGAGAGCGGCGGACGGGUGAGUAACGCGUGGGUAACCUGCCCUGUACACACGGAUAACAUACCGAAAGGUAUGCUAAUACGAGAUAAUAUACUUUUAUCGCAUGGUAGAAGUAUCAAAGCUCCGGCGGUACAGGAUGGACCCGCGUCUGAUUAGCUAGUUGGUGAGGUAACGGCUCACCAAGGCGACGAUCAGUAGCCGACCUGAGAGGGUGAUCGGCCACACUGGAACUGAGACA